Molecule: ribosomal RNA, 619 nt
Filed under: uncultured fungus
Lineage: Eukaryota; Fungi
Description: eukaryotic LSU rRNA
Rfam family: 5.8S ribosomal RNA (bases 233-386)
Source: RNAcentral
CUUGGGUCAUUUAGAGGAAGUAAAAGUCGUAACAAGGUUUCCGUAGGUGAACCCUGCGGAAGGAUCAUUAUUGAAUUAAACAUGAAGCAGGUUGUUGCUGGCUCUCUGCAUGUGCACACUUGUUUCUGCUUUAUUUCUCCAACUGUGCACACAUUGUAGAUCGUUUUUGGUCUAUGCUUUUCACAAUCUCUGAAUGUAUUAGAAUGCUUUUGAAUCUGGGGAAUAUACAUACAACUUUCAGCAACGGAUCUCUUGGCUCUCGCAUCGAUGAAGAACGCAGCGAAAUGCGAUAAGUAAUGUGAAUUGCAGAAUUCAGUGAAUCAUCGAAUCUUUGAACGCAUCUUGCGCUCCUUGGUAUUCCGAGGAGCAUGCCUGUUUGAGUGUCAUUAAUGUCUCAACCACGCCGUGAGGUCGUGGCUUGGAUUUGGGGGUUACAGGCUCUGAACUUGUGGUCUGCUCCCCUGAAAUACAUGAGCGGUGAACGACCCUCUCCGUCGAGAUGUGAUACAUAUCUGCAUCCAGUUGAGGGUUUUGCUGCUGCGAGAGUUGGAUUUGAUAAACUUGACCUCAAAUCAGGUAGGACCACCCGCUGGGCUUAAGCAUAUCAAUAAGCGGAGGA